RNAcentral lists this ribosomal RNA (253 nucleotides) under uncultured bacterium. RNAcentral's name for it is "partial 16S ribosomal RNA". It matches the Rfam family "Bacterial small subunit ribosomal RNA", at positions 524 to 776 of the family's 1533-position model. The record is from RNAcentral.
UACGUAGGGUGCGAGCGUUGUCCGGAAUUAUUGGGCGUAAAGAGCUCGUAGGCGGUCUGUCGCGUCUGGUGUGAAAAUCCAGGGCUUAACCCUGGACCUGCAUCGGGUACGGGCAGACUAGAGUGCGGUAGGGGAGAUCGGAAUUCCUGGUGUAGCGGUGAAAUGCGCAGAUAUCAGGAGGAACACCGGUGGCGAAGGCGGAUCUCUGGGCCGUAACUGACGCUGAGACACGAAAGCGUGGGUAGCAAACAGG